ACGGCAGGUCACGUGCGCAGAAGGGGCGGAGAGUUGGAAGCGCGCAGAGGGAAGAAACGGCGAGAGGAGCAACCGGACGGCCUGCAACGUGGAUCCGCCGCCAUCCGAAGCGGAGAAGCGCUGAAGGACGCCGGGCUCGGUGAACCCAAGCGGGGACCCCUUGACUUCACCAAACACCAUUGGGACCCAAAUUUCUGACACAGCCCCUCGGUCGCUAAGGGAGUUGCACCCAAUUUUUGCCGUGGAUGUUAAGCGAAUUGGCUUGGGUGUACAGCAAAUCCGGCUUCCACUAUUGAUGAUGGCUAUGGGAAGGUCACAAAAUGGAGAUUGCGGAACACCACAACUGUUACCAUUUGGCCCGGGGACGCCGUAUGAUGGUCGUACAUGCGAGGACUCCUCGUAGCCCGCUCAUUUCGAUGCCGUCUUAACUUCCAGUGGUCGCUAAAUUAAUGAGAAUCUAUCUCUCCUCACCGUGGUCCUUGUCCCAUUGAAGGUCCUUUUGGGAUGUGUGGGAUACCAAUUACCAUCAUCCCCAGUCCUUGUUCAGUGACCACUUUCGCACAACCUCGGAGGGCGGAUGUGAGUUUGUUCGGGUUGUGUCUCACAACCCCAAAUGAAGACGCCUUUCUCUGAAGUUGCUUCCUUCACUUGAGAUGUUUUGUUCACAAGCCAGCUUUGAAGAUCCGGCUCUGGUCUCUACCAGCUCGGCUAGGGGCUUUACUGCCCAUCAUCCACGCCCACGCCUCUCGCCCUGAAGAGGAAGCGGCCCAGCAGCCGGCCUCUGUUCUAAAUGGAGACCGCCGAAAGAGAGGAAGUUUGCGGUCAACCGACGAUGGAAGGUUUCUUGGAAAAAAGGAUGACGAAGACCAUGCUUCUCUUCCGCCCCCUGGAGAUGGGGCACGAUGGGAUUUUGCGCUGCUUCCAAUGGGGGCGUGUGUUAGGAGGAGAUCAAAGUCAUCAGAAGUCUCAGAAAUGAGUAAAUUGACAUUUGAAAUUAGAGAACAGGAAAAUAAGCAAUAUUAUAAGAUGGGAUUUGUUUUAUUGAUGGUUAAAAGGAAGGAAAGAUCUGAGAAAGGUUAUUAUUAAGCGAAAUAUUGAAUUGAUUUAGAAUGAUGGAAUGAAUAAUGCUAUCAGAUAAAAUACUAUUUUGUGGACAUGUAUAUGGAAUGAGAGGAUGAAAGAUUAUAGCCAUUGGUUAACUAAAGGGUUAGAUAUUAGAUGGAGGUAAUGUAAUACUAGAUGAAUCAAGUCUGUCUGUGCCCCUCCCUCCCGGAUGACAGAAUAUAGUUGGAAGGGACCUGGGAGGUCAUGUAGUCCAACCUGAGUCCUUCGGGAGAAGGGCGGUAUAAAAAUCGAAUAAAUAAUAAUAAUAACCAAGCAGGAGACCAUUUUUAGGCUGGUCCUGAGUGAAGAGAGGAAGGAAGGGCCUCUUCCAAAAUUUGGGGCUGUCUCUUGGGGGGUUGUGUGUCGGGGAGAGGGGAUUUCUCCCCAACUUCUGCCAACAGAAAAAGACUUCUGUAUCCUUAAAAGAACAUUUUCUGAAGAAUAAAUGACUCCCCACCUCA
This is a long non-coding RNA of Ahaetulla prasina, 1565 nucleotides long. RefSeq lists it as uncharacterized. The record is from RefSeq and is a predicted model, not a curated record. NCBI's taxonomy places the organism in Eukaryota, Metazoa, Chordata, Lepidosauria, Squamata, Colubridae. The transcript has 5 exons.